CUGCCCCCUCACCCCACGGCCUCCCCCCAGUAGUCCACAGUCGCCUCGUUCUCUUAAAGUGCUCCAACCUCUGCAGCUCCCCACCGAAGCUCUGCUUUCCUUAGCAAUCCUCAACUCAAAUAAAGGCCUUAAGCCCAGGUCAUACCCAUCUAAUUGCCAGCACAAACCUACAAAGGAGCUCACUCCAUCAAAUUAUUAAAAACCUGUUGUCCCAGAAAACUCCAAGGUAUCAGGCAUGCUGGGAGACAAGCCAGAGGCAUGGGAGCAAGCAGGAAAUUAAACAAAUGGCACAGGAGAAAGCGUGACAAGGGAGAUGGCCCCAUCACACAAGAGGAAAAACCAUUCUGUCUGUGUAGAAAGGCAAAGUCCACCUAAUGGGAAGGUGAGCCAGGAGCCAAGGACAGGCACAGCCUUACCAGGGCUUGUCACGAGGAGAUGCUGCAAGUUCUUGUGGAGGCUGAGUACAUGUGGCUGCUGUCCCUGGCUGCUCCCAGUCACGGCUGUGGGGCUGAGCUGGAAUCAAUCAGAGCCUGUGGAUGCGCCGUGACAAACUCCCUGUGCCCAGAGGCGAUGCUCCCAUAAAUCCUGUAAGCAUGUGCUUAACUUUGGGGAGCAAGGUGAUUGCAAUGCAAUAUUUUAUUCUUGUCAGCUUCAGUGUUAACAGUUACCAGAAUCACUUGGGUAAUUAAACCGUUGCAAGAAUAAAGUGAAAAAGCACCAGGUGUC
Long non-coding RNA from Vidua chalybeata, 726 nucleotides. RefSeq lists it as uncharacterized. The record is from RefSeq and is a predicted model, not a curated record. The transcript is spliced from 4 exons. NCBI's taxonomy places the organism in Eukaryota, Metazoa, Chordata, Aves, Passeriformes, Viduidae.